RNAcentral lists this ribosomal RNA (491 nucleotides) under uncultured bacterium. RNAcentral's name for it is "partial 16S ribosomal RNA". It matches the Rfam family "Bacterial small subunit ribosomal RNA", at positions 355 to 860 of the family's 1533-position model. The record is from RNAcentral.
UGGGGAAUAUUGCACAAUGGGCGAAAGCCUGAUGCAGCAACGCCGCGUGAGUGAUGAAGGCCUUCGGGUUGUAAAAGCUCUGUCUUUUGGGACGAUAAUGACGGUACCAAAGGAGGAAGCCACGGCUAACUACGUGCCAGCAGCCGCGGUAAUACGUAGGUGGCAAGCGUUGUCCGGAUUUUACUGGGCGUAAAGGAUGCGUAGGCGGAUUUUUAAGUGAGAUGUGAAAUACCCGGGCUUAACUUGGGUGCUGCAUUUCAAACUGGGAAUCUAGAGUGCGGGAGAGGAGAAUGGAAUUCCUAGUGUAGCGGUGAAAUGCGUAGAGAUUAGGAAGAACACCAGUGGCGAAGGCGAUUCUCUGGACCGUAACUGACGCUGAGGCAUGAAAGCGUGGGUAGCAAACAGGAUUAGAUACCCUGGUAGUCCACGCCGUAAACGAUGAGUACUAGGUGUAGGAGGUAUCGACCCCUUCUGUGCCGCAGUUAACACAA